This 371-nucleotide long non-coding RNA is filed under the name Mytilus galloprovincialis (Mediterranean mussel). The record is from RNAcentral. Lineage: Eukaryota; Metazoa; Mollusca; Bivalvia; Mytilida; Mytilidae.
GGUUCUUUGAUAUGCCAAAUCUAACUGUGUAUGUAGAUUCUUCAUUUUUGGUCCUGUUUUCAAAUUGGUCUACGCGCAUUAAAGUCCAAAGGGUCCAAUAUUAAACUAAGUUUGAUUUUAACAAAAAUUGAAUUCUUGGGCCUCUUUGAUAUGCUGAAUCUAAACAUGUACUUAGAUUUUUGAUUAUGGGCCCAGUUUUCAAGUUGGUCCAAAUCAGGAUCUAAAAUUAUUAUAUUAAAUAUUGUGCAAUAGCAAGUCCUUUCAAUUGCACAGUAUUGCGCAAUGGCAAGAAAUAUCUAACUGCACAAUAUUGUGAAAUAGCAAAAAAAAAUUUAAUUAGAGUUAUCUUUCUUUGUCCAGAAUAGUAAGCA